Molecule: unclassified non-coding RNA, 1909 nt
Filed under: uncultured fungus
Lineage: Eukaryota; Fungi
Description: sequence contains 18S rRNA gene, ITS1, 5.8S rRNA gene, ITS2, 28S rRNA gene
Rfam family: Eukaryotic large subunit ribosomal RNA (bases 866-1909)
Source: RNAcentral
GGAAGGAUCAUUAACACGUAUAUUGCGUUUUAACAAAUCCCUCUCUCAACCCCUCUGUGAACAUUGCUCUUGUAAAAAGGAGCUAAUUUCAAACUUAAAUCCUUGAUUGGAAGUUCUCUUUCAGUUGAGGUCGCUUCAAGCUCCCUGUUUUGGUUGGCUUUCGAGUCGAACAAAGCAGUUUGCGUGUUGUCGUCUUGUUCUUUUUCGGAAGAGCGAGUUCUGACAACAGUGGCGUCAAACCAAAACCCUUGAACCUAAUAACUCUGAAACCCCCCUAACAUUUGUGUGCUCUUUUUGGGCGCACGUGUUAACCAAAAAUACAAAAACAACUCUUAACAACGGAUAUCUUGGUUCUCGCAACGAUGAAGAACGCAGCGAAAUGCGAUACGUAAUGCGAAUUGCAGAAUUCCGUGAAUCAUCAAGUUUUUGAACGCAAAUUGCGCUCUUGGUUACUCAAGAGCACGCCUCUUUGAGUGUCGGUUUAACUUCUUCCUGGCAGCGUUUUCGGACGUUUUCAGUGGAGGCUAUUGAGUUUGUCUCUCUUUCGCAAGAGAGUCACUUCAAACACAAGGCGAAAGUGUGAAACUUUUGCUCCUGCAAUGUGACCUGAAGACGCAGCCUUUGUUUGGCCUGUUGUUCUUGGAGGAUUUCAUUGACGUGGAUAAUUCAUCUCUUCAAUGAGGUGGUCCAAUACGUUGAUGAGCCUUUUAGUGACAGCGAGUCAGCAAUCUGCUAUCAGCUUUGGGAGCAAUCCAUUGGAGGCAGGCAACUGAAGCACAUUUUCGAAGCGUGAUAUUUUAGUUCGCUCUCAAAGUGAACCAAAUAUUAAGCACACGGCUUCUUCAAAAAAGCCCAAGCACCAAACAGACCUCAAAUGAAGCGAGAGGACCCGGUGAAUUUAAGCAUAUUAUUAACCGGAGGAAAAGAAACUAACAAGGAUUCCCCUAGUAACGGCGAGUGAAGCGGGAAGAGCUCAACUUGAAAAUCGGUAGGGCAUGCGUCCGUCCGAAUUGUAGUCUAGAGACGUUACCGCAAGCGCGGGUGUCGGGUCAAAUUCCCUUGGAAAAGGGAGCCAUAGAGGGUGAGAGCCCCGUCUGCGACUCGUCUGCCUGUGUGUGUCGGUGCGUUCAUCGAGUCGAGUUGCCUGGGAUCGCAGCUCUAAAUGGGUGGUAAAUUUCAUCUAAAGCUAAAUAUGGGCGAGAGACCGAUAGCGAACAAGUACCGUGAGGGAAAGAUGAAAAGAACUUUGAAAAGAGAGUGAAAAGUACUUGAAAUUGUUAAGAGGGAAGCACUGGAAGCCAUUCGGGGCCGCGUCUCUAGGGUGUUGGCUCUUGCAUAAGGAGCCGGUGCCUGUCUGGGGCGUGGUUGGGGUCAGCAUCAAUUUUUGGCGCGGGAGAAGGUCUGUUUCGCGGUAGCUUCGGCGAAGGGAACGGACUCUACCAGCUGUCGGAGAUUGAGGUACGACAACACGCAUUCGGUCUGGGGGCUGGCGGUGUUUCAGCGGGCUGCGGAGAAGAAACUUCUGCGUGGCUUGUUUGGGGCGCUCUCCGGUCACCGUGACCUGCUGUGUUCGCGAUGCUGACGAUACGGUUUUCAUUGACCCGUCUUGAAACACGGACCAAGGAGUCUAACAUAUAUGCGAGUAUUUGGGUGCAAAACCCUGGUGCGCAAUGAAAGUAAUUUGGGUAGGAAGCCUUUUAAAAGGGGCCGCACUAUCGACCGAUCGCGCAAGUGAUCUUGAGUAAGAGCAUAUCUGUUGGGACCCGAAAGAUGGUGAUCUAUGCCUGAACAGGGUGAAGCCAGGGGAAACUCUGGUGGAGGCUCGUAGCGAUACUGACGUGCAAAUCGUUCGUCUGAUUUGGGUAUAGGGGCGAAAGACUAAUCGAACCAUCUAGUAGCUGGUUCCCUC